AAACGAACGCUGGCGGCAGGCUUAACACAUGCAAGUCGAACGCGUGUAGCAAUACACGAGUGGCGCACGGGUGAGUAACGCGUGGAUAUCUGCCUUUUGGUUCGGAAUAACCCCGGGAAACUGGGGCUAAUACCGGAUGGUUCCUACGGGAUAAAGAUUUAUCGCCAAAAGAUGAGUCCGCGUACGAUUAGCUAGUUGGUGAGGUAAUGGCUCACCAAGGCGACGAUCGUUAGCUGGUCUGAGAGGACGAUCAGCCACACUGGGACUGAGACACGGCCCAGACUCCUACGGGAGGCAGCAGUGGGGAAUAUUGGACAAUGGGGGCAACCCUGAUCCAGCCAUGCCGCGUGAGUGAUGAAGGCCUUCGGGUUGUAAAGCUCUUUUGGCGGGGACGAUGAUGACGGUACCCGCAGAAUAAGCCCCGGCUAACUUCGUGCCAGCAGCCGCGGUAAGACGAAGGGGGCUAGCGUUGUUCGGAAUUACUGGGCGUAAAGCGAGUGUAGGCGGUUGUCCAAGUUGGAUGUGAAAGCCUUGAGCUCAACUCAAGAAAUGCAUUCAGGACUGGGUAACUAGAGGACCGGAGAGGAUAGUGGAAUUCCCAGUGUAGUGGUGAAAUACGUAGAGAUUGGGAAGAACACCAGUGGCGAAGGCGGCUAUCUGGACGGUUAC
Molecule: ribosomal RNA, 669 nt
Filed under: uncultured bacterium
Lineage: Bacteria
Description: bacterial SSU rRNA
Rfam family: Bacterial small subunit ribosomal RNA
Source: RNAcentral